RNAcentral lists this ribosomal RNA (860 nucleotides) under Staphylococcus sp. Its description in RNAcentral is "bacterial SSU rRNA". It matches the Rfam family "Bacterial small subunit ribosomal RNA", at positions 77 to 941 of the family's 1533-position model. Lineage: Bacteria; Bacillati; Bacillota; Bacilli; Caryophanales; Staphylococcaceae. The record is from RNAcentral.
UGGCUCCUACUGAGCCAGCGGCGGAAGGGUGAGUAACACGUGGAUAACCUACCUAUAAGACUGGGAUAACUUCGGGAAACCGGAGCUAAUACCGGAUAAUAUAUUGAACCGCAUGGUUCAAUAGUGAAAGACGGUUUUGCUGUCACUUAUAGAUGGAUCCGCGCCGCAUUAGCUAGUUGGUAAGGUAACGGCUUACCAAGGCAACGAUGCGUAGCCGACCUGAGAGGGUGAUCGGCCACACUGGAACUGAGACACGGUCCAGACUCCUACGGGAGGCAGCAGUAGGGAAUCUUCCGCAAUGGGCGAAAGCCUGACGGAGCAACGCCGCGUGAGUGAUGAAGGUCUUCGGAUCGUAAAACUCUGUUAUUAGGGAAGAACAAAUGUGUAAGUAACUAUGCACGUCUUGACGGUACCUAAUCAGAAAGCCACGGCUAACUACGUGCCAGCAGCCGCGGUAAUACGUAGGUGGCAAGCGUUAUCCGGAAUUAUUGGGCGUAAAGCGCGCGUAGGCGGUUUUUUAAGUCUGAUGUGAAAGCCCACGGCUCAACCGUGGAGGGUCAUUGGAAACUGGAAAACUUGAGUGCAAAGAGGAAAGUGGAAUUCCAUGUGUAGCGGUGAAAUGCGCAGAGAUAUGGAGGAACACCAGUGGCGAAGGCGACUUUCUGGUCUGUAACUGACGCUGAUGUGCGAAAGCGUGGGGAUCAAACAGGAUUAAUACCCUGGUAUCCCCGCCGUAAACGAUGAUGCUAAUGUUAGGGGGUUUCCGCCCCUUAAUGCUGCAACUACGCAUAACACUCCGCCUGGGGAAUACAACGCAGUUGAAAUCAAGGAAUUGACGGGACCGCAAGCGGGGAGAUGGG